RNAcentral lists this ribosomal RNA (309 nucleotides) under Triticum aestivum (bread wheat). RNAcentral's name for it is "partial small subunit ribosomal RNA". Lineage: Eukaryota; Viridiplantae; Streptophyta; Magnoliopsida; Poales; Poaceae. The record is from RNAcentral.
AUGGCGCAACAGAAUGCGGACAAAAUAUUGGAGAACAGUACCGCGUUAUCCAAUGGUAAAGGAAGUAAUGCAGAUAAGGUUCAAGAUAGUGAGACAUCCCUGUUGGUCUCCAAGAAAGCUGAUAAAAACUAUCUUGACGAUAGUGAGAGAACCCAAAAGUCUUGUCUUGAUGUAGUGUUCGAGUUACUGGCCACUACUGCUAGCACAAGCUCUUCGAAUCGCUGCCUAAAUCAGUUCGUCUUCUUGAGUCUCAACUUCAAGUUGAAAGACAUCGAUCAGAUGUGCUGUGACAAGAAGCUGAAGGACUGA